This 107-nucleotide microRNA precursor is filed under the name Drosophila guanche. Lineage: Eukaryota; Metazoa; Arthropoda; Insecta; Diptera; Drosophilidae. The record is from RNAcentral.
UUUUUCCACUCUCCGCCCCCCCCCCCCCGCCCAGCCCCCGCGAAAAAUUUUUAAUUUUAUUUAUAGGGAGGGGGGGGGUGGGGGGGGGGGGGGGGGGGGGGGGGGGG